AUUGAACGCUGGCGGCAUGCCUUACACAUGCAAGUCGAACGGCAGCGCGGACUUCGGUCUGGCGGCGAGUGGCGAACGGGUGAGUAAUACAUCGGAACGUACCCUGUUGUGGGGGAUAACUGGUCGAAAGAUUAGCUAAUACCGCAUACGACCUGAGGGUGAAAGUGGGGGACCGCAAGGCCUCACGCAGCAGGAGCGGCCGAUGUCUGAUUAGCUAGUUGGUGGGGUAAAGGCCCACCAAGGCGACGAUCAGUAGCUGGUCUGAGAGGACGAUCAGCCUCACUGGGACUGGAACCCGGCACAGACUCCUACGGGAGGAAGCAAUUGGGAAUUUGGGACAAUGGGGGCAACCCUGAUCCAGCAAUGCCGCUUGUGUGAAGAAGACCUUCGGGUUGUAAAGCACUUUUGUCCGGAAAGAAAUCGCGCUGGUUAAUACCUGGCGUGGAUGACGGUACCGGAAGAAUAAGCACCGGCUAACUACGUGCCAGCCGCCGCAGUAA
RNAcentral lists this ribosomal RNA (500 nucleotides) under uncultured bacterium. RNAcentral's name for it is "partial 16S ribosomal RNA". It matches the Rfam family "Bacterial small subunit ribosomal RNA", at positions 30 to 523 of the family's 1533-position model. The record is from RNAcentral.